GGAAAAUUGAAAAGAGUACUCCUACUUACGAAGUAAAAAAAAGGUAGCUGUAAAACACCUUAGGCAAGUCCUUUAGAAGGUAUUCCAGAAGAAGACAUUAUUAUCCUAGAGUAUGACAACCCCCUGCAUGUUACUGCCCUGAAGACCUUCCAGUGGGACAAGAUAUGGAGGUGGAAAACAGUGAUAUCAAUGAUCCUAACCCCGGGGGUUUGGAAAUUGAUGAAUCAUCCUACGCUGCAGCAUUCAAACUAGCUGUGUGCUUGACAUGGGGGAGGAAAAGUGGACUCUUUGAAAUGCGAGCUGAGUACAGAUCAUUCCACCUGCCCUGUGCGUGUCCUGUUCACUCUCCACUUGACCCUCUGUGCUCAACGUCACCUGGAGUCUGAAAUCUGGAAGCAGAAAGUCCUUGACUGGAGUCAGUGGAGAGAAAAUCAUCACCUGUUUGGGCACAAACAGGCCUGGUGACUGCGUCACUGUUUGUUAAGUGAGAUCAGCUAAUAGUUGCACAGCGGGCCUUCAAAGCAUGGCUGUGGGGCCGAGGAAGUUUCUGUAAUGCACUGUCUGUGCUAAGGCCUUGGACUUUAGAGCUCAAGUGCACCCAGCGCAUUUGGAGCUUGUUGACAGCCUCUCCCGUGGAUUCUAUUUGGUUAAACGGCAGUGGCAAAGAAUUGAUUUUCGUUUCCAUCAUGCUUUGCCUGAGUCUCUCUUUAGCCACACUCUUGCUUCCUGGCUUUUGGGCGAGUUGGUCCCUCUGCCUGGGACACCCUUUCCUCCGGAUAACAGCAUGGCUUCCUUUUAGUUAUCUACUUGCAAAUCACCUCCUUGAAGACCUCUUAGGCUGUUCCCUUUCUUCUUACCCAGCCUCAUCUUUCUUCAUAACACCUGAUAUUAUUUUGCGUAUUUAUUUGGUUAGUCGCCUGUCGUUUACCUUCCCCCACCGGAGUAUAAAUUCCCUGAAGGCAAGAGACACUCAUCUGUUUUGUCCACUGAUGUGUUCCCACUGUCCACAAGAGUACCUGGCCCAUCCUAGACCCUCCAGAAAUAUUUCUUGAAUAAGUGAACAAAUGAACAUGUACAGAAAUGAUUUCCCCUCAUUUUAUAAAUGAAAAACCUAAAAAACUGGGAGGGUCAAUAAAGUAGUCAAGUUUAAUGAACAGGUAGUGGCAGAGUUAGGAUUA
Molecule: long non-coding RNA, 1178 nt
Organism: Lemur catta (Ring-tailed lemur)
Lineage: Eukaryota; Metazoa; Chordata; Mammalia; Primates; Lemuridae
Exons: 3
Source: RefSeq, a predicted model, not a curated record